RNAcentral lists this ribosomal RNA (492 nucleotides) under uncultured bacterium. Its description in RNAcentral is "partial 16S ribosomal RNA". It matches the Rfam family "Bacterial small subunit ribosomal RNA", at positions 29 to 507 of the family's 1533-position model. The record is from RNAcentral.
AGUGAACGCUGGCGGUAGGCCUAACACAUGCAAGUCGAACGGCAGCACAGUAAGAGCUUGCUCUUACGGGUGGCGAGUGGCGGACGGGUGAGGAAUACAUCGGAAUCUACUUUUUCGUGGGGGAUAACGUAGGGAAACUUACGCUAAUACCGCAUACGACCUACGGGUGAAAGCAGGGGAUCUUCGGACCUUGCGCGAUUGAAUGAGCCGAUGUCGGAUUAGCUAGUUGGCGGGGUAAAGGCCCACCAAGGCGACGAUCCGUAGCUGGUCUGAGAGGAUGAGCAGCCACACUGGAACUGAGACACGGUCCAGACUCCUACGGGAGGCAGCAGUGGGGAAUAUUGGACAAUGGGCGCAAGCCUGUUCCAGCCAUACCGCGUGGGUGAAGAAGGCCUUCGGGUUGUAAAGCCCUUUUGUUGGGAAAGAAAAGCAGCAGGUUAAUACCCCGCUGUUCUGACGGUACCCAAAGAAUAAGCACCGGCUAACUUCGUG